GGAGAGAUGGCUCAGUGGUUAAGAGCACUGACUGUUCUUCCAGAGGUUCUGAGUUCAAUUCCCAGCAACCACA
This 73-nucleotide transfer RNA is filed under the name Mus musculus (house mouse). RNAcentral's name for it is "tRNA-Asn". The record is from RNAcentral. Lineage: Eukaryota; Metazoa; Chordata; Mammalia; Rodentia; Muridae.